This 143-nucleotide ribosomal RNA is filed under the name uncultured marine bacterium. RNAcentral's name for it is "partial small subunit ribosomal RNA". It matches the Rfam family "Bacterial small subunit ribosomal RNA", at positions 359 to 497 of the family's 1533-position model. The record is from RNAcentral.
GAAUAUUGGGCAAUGGGCGAGAGCCUGAUCCAGCCAUGCCGCGUGCAGGAAGACGGCCCUAUGGGUKGUAAGCUGCUUUUAUACAGGAAGAAAMCCYUCCCUCGUGAGGGAGGAUGACGGUACCUGUAAGAAUAAGCUCCGGC